GCUACCUAACCCGAAAUCCCAAACUUAUACUAUGCUAAAACUAUAUAUUGAAAUCUUAAAAUCAAGCCCAAAUUAAUGAACAAAAUGAUGUUAUGAACGACUUGUAGCAGAUGGGCCUUGUGGCCAGCAGGCCUAGCCCAUACACGAAGUAGGCCCAGGUAAGCAAUGCUUCCUCCAUUCACCAUCAAAUCCCUAAAAUGGGGACAGGGAAUAUAAUUCGAGGGGACAAUUGAUAUAGGCGGCAAUGGUUCAGUUCUAAAUCAAUUAAGCAAUUUUGACAUAAUUGACCCUUAAACAGUUUGUAAUUAAUGGGAUUUAUGCAACAAAUUUGAAAUGGCAAAAAGACUCAGCUACAUGAUUUCCUACGGACCAUAUAUGACCGAAGCAACAAUUCAUAUUCUAAACAACUCGUUAAGUUUAGAUGAUUCAUACUACAUGAAACACAAAAUCAUUUUAAACCUGAUUUUUAUAACUAUUCGAAAACAAAAUGGCUUGAGAACUAACGGUUAUUAACAUUAUUACCAAAUUUGUUCCAUAAGUAUUCAAAUUAACAUCUUUCACUUAAAUGACUCAAAAUCUCAUGGAUAAACUAUUGAAAUAGCCUACUGAAGCUUGGAUAGGUGUUUAUAGUUAAUAAAAAUUAGGCUACUCUAUAUAGUAAUGUUCAGAUAACCAAAUAUCUAAUACAGUUCACUACAAAUCGGGGAUUAAAUCAGCCCCAAAUCACUUAAAGGAAACAGUCUUAAUUACAAACCAUAUUUAACUAUAAUUGGGCAACCAACUGAUCACGUGAAAAUCAUCCAAACAUGACAGAAAUAUCAAACAUCAGAUUUAUGUCAUAAACUUCAUUUUCAAUUCACUGUCCAGCAGGAGAUCUAUACUGAAACAAGCUCGAAUGUGUACCUGGAAUUCGAAUUGAAAUGGACAGAGGAGAAGUUAAGAGAAGUAACAACUUCAAUAACAAUUCAAAACCAAUUUACAACCCAACAACAACCAAUGAAGGAGUAAUAACAGCUCACAGUUCAAAGAUGAGUUUAAAAAUCAAGUAAACUCAAUAAAUUAGCCCACAACAGCACCAGAUAGCCAGAAUUAACCCAAUGAAUCAGUGUACUCAGCAAUAACCUUCAAUUGACUCUAAUUAACCAAUCAAUAAUACUCAAAUGACUCCAAAAUAAUUUCAGAUUGAACAGAAACAUGAAACUCGAGCUAUUUUUUUAAAUGAACUAGAAGACUGGAAUUAGAAAAUAUCUGCUAAGGAAGGCAAUGAAACAAUGUAGUUUUUAGAAAACUCAUUUCUUUCUGAAAAAUCCUAUCAAAGACUCACUCUAUAUUUUCAAAAAAUCUCACUUGUGUCUCCUCCCUCUUUCUUAAACUUCAGCCUCUAUAUAUAUAAGUUUUCAAUCCCUUUUUUCCCGAAUUUUCAGGCACUUUCAGUGGUCAGUCAAUUAGUCCUUAAAAUCAGCCUUAGUGCAGUCUCCACUACUAAUUGUCUUUUAUCUUUUUAAUUUCACUCAGAGUUACAUCCAAUUAUUUCAUUAGCAGCCUUUAAUUUAACUACUAGUGGUUUAAAUUUCAGUUAACCCCUGAAAUACCCCUAAAAUCCCCUAUGAAUUACUGGCCCUAACCUCCUUUUAAUCUAUAUUUAAAAAUAUCAGCUAUAACCAAUUCAGCUUAUCAAUCAACUAAGCCUGAUUCCUAAUUAAUCAGCUUACUUGUAUUUGAACCAGAAUCACAUUAAUACUAAACAAGAAAGCUCAACAACAGUUUAAACUUUGAGUAAAUAGCACAAUUCAGAAUAAAACAAGAAUAAUAAAUGAACAUUGUGAUAAUAAACUGAUUUCAUAUGCUAAACGAUAGACAAUGGAGAGAGAGGAACCAAAUAUAACUCAAAAGAAACAAUUUGAACCAAUGAUAAUACCAAACAAUUACAGGAGUAGCCAUGGUUUUAUACAAGGCUGAGUAAUUCGAAUUAUGUAAACAAAAUAAAGAAGAAAUAGAACAGAUGAAACAACGCACAAACACUACCAUUCUUGGAUUUAACACAAACAUGAAUUAGCUACAAGAACGAACUAAUGAACGAAACUUAAUUAAGUGAUUUGACAGUAUAACAUAUACUAAUCAAUCAGAAGAAAAUCUGGACCAAGAAAAGGGUCCAGAAGAAAAGAAAAAGAUAAUUGAAAAAACAAAAAAAAUCAAUCAGACAAAAAUACAACUUAACACAUACAAGCAAACAUAUAGAAAAAAAAAUAGAAGGAGAAGUUAAGAAGAACUUACUGUUUUUUUCAAGAAUCCCACAAUCAUGCCCUUUCGAACUUGAAUUCCAGUUAGUAUUAUACGACUAUUUCAUCGGAAACAGGCCUAUAAUACUAACUAGAAUCCAUUCGACCCUAACAACUUUGAAAUAGUCAAAUCGCUGAAAUCUAGAUCCUUCAAUCAUAAGUUUGACUCGGAUUUGAACUAAAUUGGUUAAGGAUUAGGGAUGAGGAGCCAAGGGGAUUAUUGGGUGUGAUUUUUGGGGUUAGUGGAUGACCUAGGGUUUUGGUUAUGAUCUUUGAUCGAAGAUUCGAAAAGUUCUAUCACGAUUCAAGGAACAAGGGUCAUAGAUUUGGAUUAAGGAAGGCUCGGGGGUUCAGGGUAAUUAUUUGGGUGGCAGAUGGCGUUGUUGCCGCAGGGUUUCAGGCGAAGGGGUGGGGUGGCGGCUAGGGUUUCAUGGUUGCUUGGUUCGAGUCUCUGAACUCAGAGACGAAAGAAAGGUCUGGCUAUAGGGGGUGGGGUGAGAGAUAGGAUUAUAUACUAAAGGAAAUAUUUAAUCUCGACCGUUAGAUCAUUUAAAAUCAAUGGUCCGGAUGAACUUUCGUAAGUG
RNAcentral lists this long non-coding RNA (2863 nucleotides) under Nicotiana benthamiana. RNAcentral describes it as "long non-coding RNA (NBEN_LNC020169)". Lineage: Eukaryota; Viridiplantae; Streptophyta; Magnoliopsida; Solanales; Solanaceae. The record is from RNAcentral.